Molecule: ribosomal RNA, 466 nt
Filed under: uncultured bacterium
Lineage: Bacteria
Description: partial 16S ribosomal RNA
Rfam family: Bacterial small subunit ribosomal RNA
Source: RNAcentral
GACGAACGCUGGCGGCGUGCUUAACACAUGCAAGUCGAACGGAAAGGCCCUGCUUGCUGGGUACUCGAGUGGUGAACGGGUGAGUAACACGUGGGUGAUCUGCCCUGCACUUCGGGAUAAGCUUGGGGAACUGGGUUUAAUACCGGAUAGGAGCCAUCUUUCGUGUGGUGGUUGGCAAGUUUUUUCGGUGUAGGAUGUGCUCGCGGCCCAUCAGCUUGUUGGUGGGGUAAUGGCCUACUAAGGCGGCGACGGGUAGCUGGCCUGUGAGGGUGUACGGCCACAUUGGGACUGUGAGACGGCCCACACUCCUGCGGGAGGCAGCAGUGGGGAAUAUUGCACAAUGGGCGCAAGCCUGAGGCAGCGACGCCGCGUGGGGGAUGAAGGCCGUCGGGUUGUAAACUCCUGUCGCUAGGGACGAGGCUUUGUUGUGACGGUACCUGGAGAAGAAGCACCGGCUAACUACGUG